GGGAAUAACAGUUAGAAAUGACUGCUAAAACCGCAUAACAUGGCGAUACCGCAUGAUAUUGCCAUCAAAUAUUUAUAGGUAUGAGAUGGGCCCGCGUCUGAUUAGCCAGUUGGCAGGGUAAUGGCCUACCAAAGCGACGAUCAGUAGCCGGCUUGAGAGAGUGACCGGCCACAUUGGGACUGAGACACGGCCCAAACUCCCACGGGAGGCAGCAGUGGGGGAUAUUGCACAAUGGGGGAGACCCUGAUGCAGCGACGCCGCGUGAGUGAAGAAGUAUUUCGGUAUGUAAAGCUCUAUCAGCAGGGAAGAAAACAAUGACAGUACCUGACUAAGAAGCCCCGGCUAACUACGUGCCAGCAGCCGCGGUAAUACGUAGGGGGCAAGCGUUAUCCGGAUUUACUGGGUGUAAAGGGAGCGUAGGCGGUGCGGCAAGUCAGAAGUGAAAGCCCGGGGCUCAACUCCGGGACUGCUUUUGAAACUGUCGGACUGGAGUGUCGGAGAGGUAAGCGGAAUUCCUAGUGUAGCGGUGAAAUGCGUAGAUAUUAGGAGGAACACCAGUGGCGAAGGCGGCUUACUGGACGAUCACUGACGCUGAGGCUCGAAAGCGUGGGGAGCAAACAGGAUUAGAUACCCUGGUAGUCCACGCCGUAAACGAUGAA
Molecule: ribosomal RNA, 659 nt
Filed under: uncultured bacterium
Lineage: Bacteria
Description: bacterial SSU rRNA
Rfam family: Bacterial small subunit ribosomal RNA
Source: RNAcentral